UAUACGCAUGUGCAAGAAGACAAAACAAAGAGCGCAAGUGCACAAAGUAAUCUAUUUUGUGCAGAAUACGUACUGAGUGAAAUAAAUACCGAGGUGCAUAUAAGUUUCUGUAUGUAUGUAUUUUUAUACACACGUUUUUGUAAGACAACGUUUGUUGAUGUUUGUAGAUCGAUGUUAUACAUCGAUGUUCCAAGUUAAAUGCGAAUCAAAACAAGCGAUGCUGAAGAAGAUCACGAACCACCCGAUUUCGUUCAUAAUUCGCCAAUUCCGAACAUCUCGGAAUUCCGAAUCUUCUUGUUCUUUUCAUUUGUUUUCUUUUUGUUCGUUAGUGGAAACGGUUGUUUCGAUCUUCAGGAAGACCUCGCUGUUAAACUUCCGAAAUAAUACCUUUUAGAAACAAAAAAUGGUGUGAGUCCGGUUGCAAAGAGGAUUUCCCUUUUUCAACGUCUAUGCAGUAUCGGGAAUGUUAGAAUGUUUAGCUCAAAUUAUCUUUGGCGAUAACAAGUGUACUUCGUAUUUUACGAAUUCAAAAAUUGUGAUAGGAAAUGUCUUACAGUGAUGGCGGGCGUCCGAUACGUAAGUUCGGCACAAAGUCGCCGAAAAAACUUUGUGUGACAAAGAAUGAAAAUAACGAUAAAACCACAACUACUAUUAAUUGUAACAACCACCAUCACAAUCAUUAUCAUCAUAAUCAUCGCUUUCUCGAUCCUUCUCAGCCGUCAGUACAUAAGCGUAAUCUCUAUAUUGUUUCUUUUCCUUUGAUACUACUCUUCAACGUUCUGAGAACGCUUCUCUACCAGUUAUUUGUGGUAUUUAAGUAUUUAUAUACAUCUACGUCUCAGCUGAUUCAACGAAGACAAGCUUCCAAGCAGACCUGUCAGCUGGAAAUUGUAGUUGGCCAAAAGUCUACAGAGAAUUUAAAUAACAAUUUGAAUAAUAGUGGGCAAAUUGAUAACGACGGGAUGUCACAAUUGCCCAGAAGAUCUAUUGGUCCUGGUCCUGGAGAUCCAUUGCUUGCAAAACAAAAACAUCAUCAUCGUAGAGCUUUUGAAUUCAUUAGUAAAGCACUUAAAAUUGAUGAAGAUAACGAAGGUCAAAAAGAAAUGGCCAUUGAACUGUAUAAAAAAGGUAUUGGAGAACUAGAAAAAGGAAUAGCCAUAGAGUGUACCGGUGGUCGAGGAGAAGUAUGGGAACAUGCUCAAAGACUUCAUGAUAAAAUGCGCACUAAUUUAGCAAUGGCAAAGGAUAGACUUGAUUUUCUUGUGAGUGUGUGUGAGCUGAAAAAGCUGGAUAUCUCCAAUGAAUAUCGUGCUCCUGGAAGUAAAGUGGACAACGAACAUCCAGGAAAGAAUCUGAGGGUCCGGCGCAAUAUACACACAUUACAAACAACUCGAUCUCCUUUAAAUACAAAUCAUACAAAAAACACAAACAGUACACAAACAGUGAACGUAGGGCAGAAUUCAUGUACCCAAAUUCCCAAGUUAAGGCCACGUUCACCAAAAAACUAUUCUGGCCAUUCUGAAGCAUCUGGAAGAAAAUUAUCAGUACCUGGAAAAAGAGUAGGCACUGCAAUUAGCAAAAGCCAAACAUUACCACGAAGUAUGGGACGUUCAACACCAGUUCAGCCUUGUCACAGAGUCACACCUGUUAAACCAUCAUCCACACCUCCUUCAGUAAAAAGGCAAUUAUCUGUACCUGGAAAUGGUUCUCCUAUCAGAAGACCUGGAACGCCUACUACAUCAAACAGUAACAAAGGAACACCCACUAGAAAAGUUCCUCUCUUAAAGGGCGUAGAUCCAAAACUAGCCCAAGUUAUUCUUGACGAAAUUUUGGAAGGAGGAACAGCCGUGCAUUGGGAAGACAUUGCUGGUCAAGAAACGGCAAAACAAGCACUACAAGAAAUGGUGAUAUUACCUUCUUUAAGACCUGAAUUAUUCACCGGUCUACGGACACCUGCGAGAGGAUUAUUGUUAUUCGGCCCACCCGGAAAUGGGAAAACAUUACUUGCACGUGCUGUAGCUACCCAAUGCAAUGCUACAUUUUUUUCAAUAUCAGCUGCUAGUCUCACAUCAAAAUAUGUCGGAGAAGGAGAAAAAUUAGUGAGAGCUCUUUUCGCUAUAGCGCGAGAAUUACAGCCAUCUGUGAUUUUUAUUGAUGAAGUUGAUUCAUUAUUAAGUGAACGCAGGGAUAAUGAACACGAAGCUUCUAGGCGGUUGAAAACAGAGUUUUUAGUAGAAUUUGAUGGUCUGCCGUGUAAUCCGGAGGAAAGAGUACUUGUUAUGGCUGCUACAAAUAGACCUCAAGAAUUAGAUGAAGCGGCGUUAAGAAGAUUUACGAAACGUGUAUAUGUUACAUUACCAGAUUUACAAACAAGAAUUAUGCUUCUUAAGCGUCUAUUAGCUAAACAUAAUGAUCCAUUAACUACAGAAGAAUUAAAUGAAAUGGCGCUCUUAACUGAAGGCUAUUCCGGAAGUGAUUUAACGGGUUUAGCUAAAGAUGCUGCACUUGGUCCUAUCAGAGAGCUUAAUCCAGAUCAAGUAAAGGAGUUGGAUCUUAACUCCGUGCGCAACAUUACGAUACAAGAUUUUCGUGAUUCACUUAAAAGAAUUCGUAGAUCCGUAUCACCUGCAAGUUUGGCUGCUUACGAAAAAUGGAGCUUUGAGUAUGGUGACGUAAGUCUAUGAUUUUUAAGAAUUAGUUAAAAGGCAACUGUUUACAAAUAAGUUACAUUCAAAGUAUCAAUCGUUUCAAUAAGAAACAAAGAACUGUAACAACAGAAAAAUAUUUCAAAAGUGACUUUCUGCGAUAUUAAUUAUUACAAAGUGUAAAUACAGCAGCUUUUACAUUUUCUAAACUAAUUUAUAAAUAAUAAUGUCUAUAUACAAAAAGGAAAUGUUAUAAUAUGUGAAAAGCACUCUUGCCAAGUAAUGUUUUUUAAAUCAUGUUACAAACGUAACAAUGUAAUAUGAAUAGCUUUAUACUGCAUAAUACAUUCCAUACUCCAUCCACAAAUCAGGUAUCGUAGAUUUAAGUUUCACCGAAAUGGUGUUAAUAGUAGAAUUCCAAAGUUCGUAGUCUUACGAUUUGCGAAAAUUUUGAUAGUUUCUUUAAUUUAUGCUUUUCGAAAAUGACAAUUUUUUUAUUUGUUUAAUUAAAAUUUACUCGACUGCUUCCUACGCACGUAGAUAAUCUCCUAAUGUAAAUUAUUGUAACAACAUGCACCUUAUGACGAACGAAGAAAAUAAUGUAAAUAUCAAGUGUUGAUCAAGCGUAAUUGAGUUUAACAGUAUUGAGUAGAAAGACUGCAUUUGCACAUGAAACAGCACACGUCCAAUCAGAUAAUAAAACAAUUGAUAUAAUUGGAUAUAAAUGGAUAUCUAACUACUGCUGUAGUUAAGUUAUCGGAUAAGCAUAGAAAUUUGUAGGUGUCUUGUAUAAGCAAAUGCUGAAAGUGAAAUACACAAAUUGCUUUAGAAAUUCAAAUGUUUGGUUGAUAAAUGUUGAAAUGGAAUAAUACCAUUGUGAUGUAUCAAUGAGGGUAUCGCAUUGGUCAGCUUGUAAAUUAACUCUUGAUUUGAUGAAAUUUCUAUCGAGACAACGAACUGGAACUAUAUUUGAAAUGAGUGGAAUUCGAAAUACUUAUAAUUUAUAAUCAAAUAUUAUCAAUGAAACAAUAAUGUUAUGAUACACAUAUUCUAUAACGAGAAAUCCUAUAUAUAUUAUAUAUAUACAUAUAAAAGUUUUUGAUAUUUAUCUAUUGCUUAAAGUGCUCAAACAAAAAGUGAUUGUGCUUGUACGACAUAAUCAUACAAUUGAAAACGUGUUUAUUGCAAAAUGAUAUUAAUAAGCAUGUUAAUACAAUAUUAUUUUCGCCCUGAAGUUAGUUAUAUUAAUCUUUUUGACUUCACGUAAUUUACAAUUUUUGUUUAUAAGAGAAGCACAUAAUAGUUGUUCCAAAAAAUUAUACCUCAUUAUAACUUAUUUUUAAUAACAUACAUGCAACGAGUUUAAAGCUUCUCUGGUGUGAUCAGUAGUUAAUAUUAAUCAAUAAUAAUGAUAGAUGUGUACAUGAGUAAUAUAUACGUGGCACGUGUUAAUUUUUGUUCUGCCACGUAGAUCAAUGAAAAGUAAAUUUCUCCCUGUACUUGUUAGAAUUUCCAUGUGAACUAUAAGUGAUAUAAAAUAUUAAAAUAAUGUAGGAAUCACCACAUACAUAGUACUUACAGUUGUGCAAAGUACACGCACUAUUCUUUAUAGAAAAAUGCAAAUGAAGUUGACGAUGCAAAUAAUGCCAAAUGAGUUUACUUUCAAAGGUAUAUUAGUGUAUAAGCUGUUGAGUUUAAUAUGUGUUGUCACAUAAUAAUGAGUAAUUAAUUUAAUUAAAAGCAUCACAAACGUAAUACGUAUUACACUAAAAUGUUAAGGCUUUUUAUUCUAAAGAUUUAGUGCCAACACAGUUUGUAUUGUACUGAUUAUAGUUAAGUUUCACUUACUUUAGAAUAAUUUUCUCUUCGAUUCUGCGCCGAACUUUCUCGUAUGUGAAGUUUUGUUUGCUAUUGUAUGUAUAAUUACAGUAACGUUAAUUGAAUCUUUUUUCGAUGAUCUUGCACAACAGACUGUUUAUCAAUAUGGGUAUAUGUAUCUACAACCCUGGCCUUCCAAGUUAAAAACACGCUCAGCCUCGAUUAAGUUAUUUUGCUACUUUUAUAAAAACUUGUAAUAGAGAAUUUCUUAAGGAUAUAAAGAAAAUAAUGCUAAUAUUAAUUAAUGCUAUUUAAAUUAAUAAUAAUGAAAUGUGAGUUGAUCGUUGAGAAAUGUUUGCACGCGUUUAACUAGGAUUACUUUUUUCUUAUGUAUUCUAAGAUGCGACUCUUAUUCUUUAAAUAAUAAUUGUUUUGAUAUCAGUACUAAUCCGAUGCAACUUUUUGAGAGGAAAGAAAGAGAUUAUUACCGAAGCAAGUUUAUUUUAUAAAAUUUAACGUAAAACUUCCAAGAUUUCUGUUUUAUUUCUAUUGAAUCUCUAAUUAGAUAUACUUCGAUGAAAUGUGAAACUUAUAUUUCUUUAUCAGUAUUAUAGGUUGCUUAAAAAAUUAUAUUGAACAAGGUAGACAAUUCACGUUUGUAGACUGUAAAUUAAAUUCUUUCAUUGAGCAACUCGUUUUUAAUGUAUUGUGCCGUAGUUAUUCUACGCUUGAUAAAAAAAAUAAUUAACAAAUACAUUUAAUUAACGUUAAUAUACUCAGUGAUAUCAUGCAAUUAAAUAGUAAUUUUUAAAUAUAGCUGAAUAAUGUAGCGAUACCUAUUACUGUACAGAAACACAGAUAUCCUAUUUCAUAUUUUGCCGCUGUGUGAUCGAAAUCGAGGAACGCAUGUAUUGUGUGUAAAAAAGUGUACAGUACAAAUUAUUCUAACACAUUUCAUUAAGGGGAAAAAAAAAGGAAUGAUCAUAACUUCCAUUUGAAAGUUAAUUCACAAUUUUGUCGAACCAUUAAAUAUUUAAUUAAUGUAUUGUUAAAUUACUCCUAACUUGUAUUAUUUGUAUUCGCGAAAGAAAUAUAAUUUUGUUCAUGUAACAGCAGUGAUAUAAUCAGCAUAAUACUUUUGUACUGAAUUGAUGUAAUAACGCACUUUUUAAAUUGAUACAAAAAAUAUACUAAAUAAUUGUGUUUUCUUUGGGAUAUAUAUACAUAUAUAUCACAAA
Molecule: unclassified non-coding RNA, 5701 nt
Filed under: Megachile rotundata (alfalfa leafcutting bee)
Lineage: Eukaryota; Metazoa; Arthropoda; Insecta; Hymenoptera; Megachilidae
Description: spastin, transcript variant X2
Source: RNAcentral